CCUACGGGAGGCAGCAGUGAGGAAUAUUGGUCAAUGGACGAAAGUCUGAACCAGCCAUGCCGCGUGCAGGAAGACGGCUCUAUGAGUUGUAAACUGCUUUUGUACGAGGGUAAACGCAGGUACGUGUAUCUGUCUGAAAGUAUCGUACGAAUAAGGAUCGGCUAACUCCGUGCCAGCCGCCGAGGUAAUACGGAGGAUUCAAGCGUUAUCCGGAUUUAUUGGGUUUAAAGGGUGCGUAGGCGGUCGGGUAAGUUAGAGGUGAAAUCCCGGGGCUCAACUUCGGAAUUGCCUCUGAUACUGUUCGGCUAGAGAGUAGUUGCGGUAGGCGGAAUGUAUGGUGUAGCGGUGAAAUGCUUAGAGAUCAUGCAGAACACCGGUUGCGAAGGCAGCUUACCAAGCUACGUCUGACGUUGAGGCACGAAAGCGUGGGGAGCAAACAGGAUUAGAUACCCGGGUAGUC
RNAcentral lists this ribosomal RNA (460 nucleotides) under uncultured bacterium. RNAcentral describes it as "partial 16S ribosomal RNA". It matches the Rfam family "Bacterial small subunit ribosomal RNA", at positions 338 to 795 of the family's 1533-position model. The record is from RNAcentral.